Long non-coding RNA from Sander lucioperca (pikeperch), 159 nucleotides. RefSeq lists it as uncharacterized. The transcript has 3 exons. The record is from RefSeq and is a predicted model, not a curated record. NCBI's taxonomy places the organism in Eukaryota, Metazoa, Chordata, Actinopteri, Perciformes, Percidae.
UAUAUGUGUGUGUUAGGAUGAGUGCUGAUCGGGCCACAUUUUUCUGUCCGAGCCCGGCUCGCGUCCAACAGAGCAGUAACCCGAACCCGACCUGAGCCCGACAGGCAUUAAGAUAUUUAUGUCCGAGCCCGACACAGUUAAAAGCUCAUUUUUUUCUCA